UCAACACUUUUAUCCAAAGCGACUUACGAUAAGUGCAUUCAACUAUAAGGUUACGAACACAGAACAGCGUGAAUCAUGUGUGUAAAUGUACUAAACACCACAAAAAAUAAACCUGGCCUCAGUCAAAUACUUAUCCCAUAUGAAUUAACCGCUGCUCACGUCACCCGCUCGCGUCAUCAGCUGAUGGACUCGUCCAAUCAGAGCCUCGUAAACGCCGUGCAGCAGCGUCGAGUGUCCCGCAGACAGGAAGCGGGUCGUGUUUAGCUUGUCCCGUACGAGUGACUCUGUCUUCGGGGUAAAUAACUUGCUGAAGUCGACACGACACUGUUCCCUGGAGGAGAAGAUGAGUGCGUGUGGAGGCAGAGCCGCGGGCCCGGUGUGGACGAGUCGAGGCGGAGAAGACGGGCGCACAGUCCCUGAGUUACGCCUCAGCCCCCCCACACACACACACACACACACGCAAACAAAGAGGCGUUAGGCUGAGACGCUGAAAGUCCGGAUUUAAAGUGCAGAAAAUUAAGCCAUUGAAUCUGCCUGUCCAUGACGUACAAAGACACACUAUGAGCCAGUAUGAUCCGACCAGACCUUACAUCAGCAUUGAGGAGUUGUCGGAGAAGAAAGAGGCUGAUUGAAGCGGGACAGAUGACAUGGAUCCAUCCUUCCACAGCCAGGAGCGCACCGACCUGUGUCCCACACUUCAUAUAAGACUGGAAGCUACACUGAUCUCACAGCUACACACCACAGACGUCUACACACUGGAGAAGAGUCCCACAAAGAAGUCAUGACCCAGAGGCUGCAGAGAAACAUUUCAAGCCUCAUCUGAGUUUUUGUACAAUAUUUUUGCUGUAUGUAAAUAAAGCUUUCACUCCACA
Limanda limanda (common dab) is the source of this 872-nucleotide long non-coding RNA. RefSeq lists it as uncharacterized. Lineage: Eukaryota; Metazoa; Chordata; Actinopteri; Pleuronectiformes; Pleuronectidae. The transcript has 4 exons. The record is from RefSeq and is a predicted model, not a curated record.